UGACCUCGAAUCAGAUGAGACUACCCCCUGACUUAAGCAUAUCAUAAGCGAG
RNAcentral lists this ribosomal RNA (52 nucleotides) under Craterellus sp. AWW263. Its description in RNAcentral is "partial 25S ribosomal RNA". The record is from RNAcentral. Lineage: Eukaryota; Fungi; Basidiomycota; Agaricomycetes; Cantharellales; Hydnaceae.